Piliocolobus tephrosceles (Ugandan red Colobus) is the source of this 2911-nucleotide long non-coding RNA. RefSeq lists it as uncharacterized. NCBI's taxonomy places the organism in Eukaryota, Metazoa, Chordata, Mammalia, Primates, Cercopithecidae. The record is from RefSeq and is a predicted model, not a curated record. The transcript is spliced from 3 exons.
GGAGGUCACUUAGCUAUUAGAAGGUUAGGUCUCUUUGUAUUAUACCUUAUAAACAAGGCUCAUUUGGACUUAGGGCUUCCCUUAGGGGUGACAACCUUACCAAGGAGAUCAUUUCUACCAGUGGGAUCCAUCCAGCAGAUCAGUUCUUAAGUUCAGCUUCAUCAUGUAAACUGCUACACAGUGCAGGCUGACUUCGCAUUCACCAUUCAGAUGCCCUCUUCUAGUUUUAUGUUCUUGGCAGCAGUGAAAAGGACCUCAGAGUUCUCAGGCAAGAUGAUCUUCACUGAGCUAUAUGUUGGAGGAACCCAGAACCAUCAUAGUUUUAGGGUGUAGCUGAAAAUCCUUACUGUGAAUGGGGUUUGUGGCACUGAAAGUUACCCCUUCCCUGGGAAUUUUGUAGGAACCCUUGCCACACAAAUCAAUGGAGCAGUGGGAAGAAGCACCACAAGAUAUGCCUUUUUUUUUUCCUUUAAAAAAUGUUUGAAAACUCCUACUAAUAUGGGUAGGAAAGCUUCUGCCACAUCUGAUCAUAAAAUGAGAGUUGCUCAAAAUACUAGUGCAGAUCACUCUGACAUGUGAAAUGCAACACUUCAGGAUUUGUGCUGGAAACUUAAUAAAUACAGUGAACUUGAAAAGCUUAUCCCUAAACUGUAAUCCUCCCAAACAAAACAAAAACAAAGCAAGAAAAAAAAAGUUAUUUAAAAUUGUCAAAAGAGGCUGCAUUUUUUGAGGUUACCAAAAUUAUAUCUUUAGACCUUUCUUCUGAUUUGGUAUUUUAUGUAUUUAAGCAGUUACCUGAUUCUGAUUUAAAGGAGCAAUUUUAUUUCUUCUUUUCUAACUCAUUUACCCAGUGAGUUUGUGUGACUAUAGAGAAAAGUAGGCUGUGUGGUUUUUCUAGUUGUCUAUACAUGUUGCCUCAUAGAGCAUAUGUACACAUGUGUAAAGUUUUCAUUUCCACUAAGCCAUUCACUCCCUAGAUACUAUGCUGGUAUUUGUUUUUCUGCUGAGGUCUCCCACAUUUUUAAUGCCUUUCUGAGUUAUUCCUCCUGAAGGAACAUUAUAUACUAUACUGGAAGCAAAUGAGGCUUUUCUUAAACUUCCAGUCUUGGGUUUUGCAUGUAGCAUUUCCAUUCCUUACAGAUGAAUGAGUUCUUUUUUCCCUAUUGACUAUUAGGGCUUUGCCUUAUGGAAAGGAAUAGGGUGGUGAAGGGAAAAUAUUUUGAGAUCUUGCCUGGUCUUAAUAGGGAGUUUGUGACACUUAGAUUUUCAAGUGUUCAGUUUAUACCUUUCCCAAAUCUGGUUGCAGUGUAUUUAGUCAAGCAUUGAAGACCUAACAUAUGGCAUGUUUUGCAAGACACAGGGAAAGAAAAAUGAACUGAGAACAGCGAGACCUUCUGGAAAUUCCCAGGGUGGGACGCUGCAAACCCUGGGUCCUGGGCCUGCCUGAAUCACAGCCUCAGUGGGAGGAUCUUAUGAAAGGCUCUGCCUUUUCCCAUGGUACUGUAGAAACUGCAAAUAUAAUGACGAUAUGGAGAGCAGGGGCAGAAAGCAAGGGUUUCUUCGCUGGAAUAAGGAAGAGGAGGAAGCCAAGGAAGACAGAGACUGUGGCAUCAGUGCGGUAGCCUUUCCUAGUAAAGAGACAAGCAUAGCUGAGGAGAAGGGUCAGGAAUUUUCAGGAGUAACAUGAUGUCUCGGGGCAGUCUGUGCAAACACAGUGUCUUUUUAGGACCUAGUCUAGAGGUGAAAUUAACCUUAGUUCUUGCCAGUUGCGGCCAUGCUAUCCACAGUGGAUUUAAUGGGCAGUGGUGAAUGUCUGGAGGCAGGGCCUGACUAGAGUAGAUGUCUUGGUGUGAAUUUGUGAGCCCGUUAAUUGGGGCAAGUCCUAGAAGGAGUGAUCAGGAGUGAAGAUGGUUAGAUGAGAAUAGAAGAGGAUGAGACCUCUUUCCUAUGAAGGCCACACCUCCAUGUGCCUCCCUUCUCAAGUGAGAAGUUGGUCUCUUUUCUUUACAGUUGGUACUUUAUAGAUGUUUUCUCCUUUAACUCUCAUAACCACCUAUGAGGUAACCAAGCUUCCAGGAGCUUAUGUAAUGAGACUACGUGCAGCACUGGAUCCCAGCCCCAGACCAGGACUCCAAAGGGUGUUUUUCCUUUCUGAUUUCACACUGCAGCCUCCCUAAAAAGAGUGGAUUCCCCAGGGAAUGAAAUCUUCCUGGCUUCAUAUCUUCCCCUGAGAGUCUACGAAGGAUGCCAGUAGUUGUUGCCUAAAGAAUUGGGGUGAGGGAGUUGUUCUUAAGGAGGAAGUUGUAUUACUUACUUUUCAAAGAAAGAAUCCCAGCCAGGGACAAAGCCAGGCUCCCGGGUAAACCACAGUACGGUCAUCAGGAUGAAGAAAAAUCCAGUCACCAUUUCAGGGUAGCUAUAAAAUAAAACAGAAAGACCCACUCAGGAACUGAGAAAUUUCUCCUAGCUUUUUCACUUUGCUUCUGGAAGCUUCUGUAUUUAGAGUUUCAAUACCCUAGACAUAAAACACACUCACUGCCUAACCACUAUGAAUGGCUGACAGUGAGAUGAGGACAAGACUGAGUGCCCCCAGAAAACAUGACAUUAACCAUGUUCCCUGGAGAAACUUCUGUGGAAAGGGCAAGAGAACACAGCACUGUACAUUUAUAAAUAAUUUCAAAUACAGCCUACAAGGAGAAUACAGUGAAACAGGCACUCCCAAACACUGUGCAGGUGGGAAGAGGAAUUGCUACAACCUUUUUGAGGCCAUUUGAUGAUAUACAUCAGAAGCCUUAAAGCUGGUCAUUCCCUGGCCAGGUGUGGUGGCUCACGCCUGUAAUCCCAGCACUUUGGGAGGCCGAGGCGGGCGGAUCACGAGGUCAGGAGAUGGAGACCGUCCUGGCUAACACAG